This 467-nucleotide ribosomal RNA is filed under the name uncultured bacterium. RNAcentral describes it as "partial 16S ribosomal RNA". It matches the Rfam family "Bacterial small subunit ribosomal RNA", at positions 28 to 507 of the family's 1533-position model. The record is from RNAcentral.
GAUGAACGCUGGCGGCGUGCUUAACACAUGCAAGUCGAACGGAAAGGCUCUUGCUUGCAGGUGUACUCGAGUGGCGAACGGGUGAGUCACGCGUGGGUUAUCUGCUCUGCACCUCGGGAUAAGCCUGGGAAACUGGGUCUAAUACCGGAUAGGACCACAUUUGGGUUGGUGUGGUGGAAAGUUUUUCGGUGUGGGAUUAGCUCGCGGCCUAUCAGCUUGUUGGGGGGGUAAUGGCCUAACAGGGCGUCGACGGGGACCGGGCCUGGGGGGGUGUACGGCCAAAAUGGGAAUGAGAUACGGCCCAGGAUCCGUCGGGAGGGAGGAGUGGGGGAUAUUGCAAAAAGGGGGGAAGGCUGAUGGCGGGACGCCGGGUGGGGGGUGACGGCCUUCGGGGUGUAAACUCCUUUCGCUAGGGAAGAAGGGUUUUUGUGACGGUACCUGGAGAAGAAGCACCGGCUAACUACGUG